GGCGUCAGGAGCUGGACGCCAGGACUCUUUAGAAAACCGGAAGUGUCUGUGACUGCCGGGUUAACCCUCUGUCCCAGCGUAUCUUGAGUCAGAAGGGCUUGCAGGUUUGUUUCUAGCAUUAGGACCGUUGCUGUAUCCUUCAAACAUUUUAGCAACGUGGUACGUCAUAUCCAGCCUUGAGAGUCAGAGCUGUGUCGGAACUAUCACUGGACCUUGGGCCAAUUACUUUACCUUUCUCAGCAUGAUUUGGAUAAUAUUUCUUGAGGCACAGUGGGGCACGUAAUAUGAAGUGAAGGAAGUUGAAAACUUUAGGCAGGAAUCGACAGUACAGAAUGCAUUUCUUUUGUCUGUGGUAUCAGCUAGCUUCAGACUGUAAUAGUGCCUUACAUUUUAUGUAUACUAUACAUUUUCCACCCCUGUUUCAUGUUUUGGAAUUUGAGGCCAUAAAUGGGAUAGUAUUCACUGAUAAAGAGGUGUUCUUACCAAGUGCCAGCUAGCUUAGUUUAGGGAGGGAAGACGCAAACACCUAUAUAGGUGGUGGUGACCCUUUUACCCUGCCAAAGCAUGGUAAGAGAGAUUUAUGGUGAAGAGGACUGAAUUCUUUGAAGACGCAAUAUUUGAAGAGAGUCCCUGAAGUGGGGAAGCAAGUCAUGUGUUUAUGAAGGAUCACUUACUCUGGGGAAAGCCAGCUGUCACAUCGUGAGGACACACAAGCAACCUAAUGGAGUCUCAUGUAGCUAGGAAGUGAGACCAUCUGCCAACAGCCAUAGAGGAGAAGUGAAGGAGAAAGAGAGGGGAAGACAUUAAUGUGCAAGAGAAACAUCAAUUGGUUGCCUCUCACACUUGCUCCAAUCGCAGACCAGGCCUGCAAACCCGGCAUGUGCCCUGACUGGAAAUUGAGCUGGCGACCUCUCACUUUUCUGGACCAUGUUCAACCAACUGAGCCACACCGGUCAGGGCUGGUCCAACGUUGAAGCCAGGAAGCCUGUUGACUGAUUUUGGUGAUGCUUGUUUCCACCUGAGUUGAGGUGGCAAUGUGAGUACAACAAGAGAAGUGCAUGGUCAUACAAACUCUUCCUUGUUCUGCCAGUAUGUAGCCUAAGGCAAUUCGAUUAUCUAAGACAGCCUUAGUGGAGAGUCCAGAGAUUUCUGAAUAUUAGCAAGUGAGCUGACAGUUUUAUUUGGCUAUGGUGGUUAAAGUCUUGGAGAGAUUCUGAAGUACAUUCUGUUGUUCAGUUCUCCCCUACCAGGGUAAUAGAGUACAUGUAAAGAAAUACUUGUCAUUAUGUGUGAUUUCUCUGGGGAGAUCUCAGGCCAUUCAGGUGAGUAUUGAUUGCUCACCUGGAGUCCCAGCUGCCCAAACAGUUUUUCUUACUUGCUUGUACAUCUCAGGAGGGAACAGUUCUCUUCUGAGUCCCCUUGAACAGAUUAAAAGCAUCUGGAGUUGGAGUGCAUAUUCUCCAGUGGGACCUGCAGGUAAAGCUGCUGCCUUUCAGGAGAAAAGGUUAUUUGAGCAGGCAAUUUAGAAAGCAAGUCCAGUCCCAGCAGAUGAAUGCAACAUUCAGGCAAACAAAGGAGGCUGUGUGAUAACUUAAGAUCUCUGAGUCGACAUUCCAAAAGCUGGAGGGAGGCUUGUUGUUGCAUUUCUCUCAUUACUCCGACUGAGACUCUCAUGGGGUUUUUAUUAUUAUGUAGUGAAUUUGGGCUUUAAUACAGUGUACAUUGCUCACAUAUCUAUUAAAAAUUGAUCAAUUUGUUCCCCACUGUCAAUUGUAUCUGAGGCUCCUGGGGGGAAAUAAUGACAAGUCAGGAGGUGUUAGAGGAGUCCCUGGGUCCCCUCAUUCAUCACCUGAGUCACCAUUCCAUUUCACCAAAAGGUUACAAAAUUGCAAUAAUUUUGUUCUGUCCCAUAAUCAAUUUUGUUCAUGUUGAUUAUUUGCCAGUAUUUCUUUUUUUUAAAAAAGAUUUUUUAUUAAUUUAUCUUUAGAGAAGAAGGGAAGGAGAGAGGGAGAGAAAUACCAGUGUAUGGUUGCCUCUUGUGUGUCCCUUGCUGGGAACUGGCCUGCAACCCAGGCAUGUGCCCUGACUGGGAAUCGAACCGCGAUCCCUUAGUUUGCAGGCCCGUGCUCAAUCCACUGAGCUACACCAGCCAGGGCUAUUUGCCAGUAUUUCUAUAAAUCCAGUUAUUCCAUAGAAUUCUAGUAAUCUUCAUCCAGUUCAAAACUAUGAUCUGAAAAUUUACUCUCAGAAAUAUGUAAUUUAGAAUAAGUUACAGUCCCUUCCAUGGAUCUUUCUGAAGAUGUAACAUAUUUGUAAAUGCAUCAGGGUAAAACAAUGACUUACUAAAUGACAAUAAAAAAAGUUAAUAGCAGUGCUAUAUACAUUAGACAACUGCUGGAAACAGCCUAAGUGCCCUUCAGUAAAUGAGUGGACCAAAAAUCUGUGGUACAUUUACACAGUGGAAUACUAUGCAGCAGAAAGAAGGAAGGGACUCCCUAUCUUUUGCGACAACAUGGAUGGAACUGGACAGUAUUAUGCCAAGUGAAAUAAGCCAGUCAGAGAGAGAAAAAUACCAUAUGAUCUCACCUAUAAGAGGAAUCUAAUGAACAAAAUAAACUAAUGAAUAUAAUAGAACCAGAGGCAUGGAAACAUGGAACAGACUGAAAGUGACUGGAGGGGUGAUAAUGGUGGAAAGAAAAGGAUGGAGCUAGAGAAAGAACAUGU
Artibeus jamaicensis (Jamaican fruit-eating bat) is the source of this 2724-nucleotide long non-coding RNA. RefSeq lists it as uncharacterized. NCBI's taxonomy places the organism in Eukaryota, Metazoa, Chordata, Mammalia, Chiroptera, Phyllostomidae. The record is from RefSeq and is a predicted model, not a curated record. The transcript is spliced from 3 exons.